AUGCUUUUUAGUGUUAUAAGCACUAAAAUCGAAACUACAGAGAAGAUUAGCAUGGCUCUUGCUUAAAUAUGAUACACCAAUGUAAACAGAAGCCCAUGUUUUUU
This is a small nuclear RNA of Nannospalax galili (Upper Galilee mountains blind mole rat), 104 nucleotides long. NCBI's taxonomy places the organism in Eukaryota, Metazoa, Chordata, Mammalia, Rodentia, Spalacidae. The record is from RefSeq and is a predicted model, not a curated record.